This 285-nucleotide unclassified non-coding RNA is filed under the name uncultured fungus. RNAcentral describes it as "partial contains 5.8S ribosomal RNA, internal transcribed spacer 2, and large subunit ribosomal RNA". The stretch from base 1 to 52 matches the Rfam family "5.8S ribosomal RNA", at positions 103 to 154 of the family's 154-position model. The record is from RNAcentral. Lineage: Eukaryota; Fungi.
AACGCAUCUUGCGCCCGGUGGUAUUCCGCCGGGCAUGCCUGUCUGAGUGUCAUUACUAUCUCAACCCUAGGAAUGUUGUCAUGACGUUGCUCAGCGGAUUGGAACCUGGACUUGGCAGGGUUCGCCCUGCCGGUCUUAAAUGUAGUAGGCUAACCGACCAUCAGCGGUUUGACCGGGUGUUGUAGAGUCGCCUCACUCGGGACGCUGAUCGGAGUAGUUGAAUUGUAAUUGUAUUACUCGAGCGAUUUAGACCUCAGAUCAGGUAGGACUACCCGCUGAACUUAA